AAGAUCAAAUAUUCACGCUCGCAAAAUAGAUCAGCCCGACUUGGGUUCAUUCUUGGGUUCAUUCUGCUAAACUUGCUGGUGUUAUUUUGUCUCACUUCACAUAUACACAGAGGCAACUUUAUUGCGUUCGGAAGAUGAUCGUCUACAGAAAUAAUGGGAUGCUAGAAGAUGCGUGGAGCUAACUGUGAGUUUUUUCUCAGAGAGCAGCUCUACCAAAGAGCAUAUAUAUUUAAAAUAUUUUUUAUUCAUUUCUUGUCUUAUUUGUUUAGAACUUAAUCCAUCUGAACAAUAUUUAUGAAAUGAAAAAAGCGUUAAAAAGAAUGCUAAAUCAAAACGAAUGCUAGUCAUGCAGACUUGUUAGAGCUGUAACUAGUUUCUGAUUUUAACCUUGGCUAAGGAAUAAAAGGGAAUAAACUGUCAUUUGGUUGAAGCUGUACCAUAUAACAGUUUGCUUUUAUACCAGGA
Long non-coding RNA from Nematostella vectensis (starlet sea anemone), 465 nucleotides. RefSeq lists it as uncharacterized. The transcript has 2 exons. The record is from RefSeq and is a predicted model, not a curated record. Lineage: Eukaryota; Metazoa; Cnidaria; Anthozoa; Actiniaria; Edwardsiidae.